RNAcentral lists this ribosomal RNA (440 nucleotides) under uncultured bacterium. RNAcentral's name for it is "partial 16S ribosomal RNA". It matches the Rfam family "Bacterial small subunit ribosomal RNA", at positions 338 to 795 of the family's 1533-position model. The record is from RNAcentral.
CCUACGGGAGGCAGCAGUGGGGGAUAUUGCACAAUGGGGGGAACCCUGAUGCAGCGACGCCGCGUGGGUGAAGAAGCGCCUCGGCGCGUAAAGCCCUGUCAGCAGGGAAGAAAAUGACGGUACCUGAAGAAGAAGCUCCGGGUAAUUACGUGCCAGCAGCCGCGGGAAUACGGAGGGGGCAAGCGUUAUCCGGAUUUACUGGGUGUAAAGGGGGCGAAGGGGGUGUGGCAAGCAAGGAGUGAAGGCCGGGGGCCCAACCCGGGGAAUGUUCUUGAAACUGGGUGGUUUGAGGGCAGUAGGGGCAGGCGGAAUUCCUGGUGUAGCGGUGAAAUGCGUAGAUAUCAGGAGGAACACCGGUGGCGAAGGCGGCCCGCUGGACUGCAACUGACGUUGAGGCCCGAAAGCGUGGGGAGCAAACAGGAUUAGAUACCCCUGUAGUC